RNAcentral lists this small nucleolar RNA (117 nucleotides) under Leersia perrieri. RNAcentral's name for it is "snoRNA snoZ206". It matches the Rfam family "Small nucleolar RNA Z206". Rfam says of the family: Z206 is a member of the C/D class of snoRNA which contain the C (UGAUGA) and D (CUGA) box motifs. Most of the members of the box C/D family function in directing site-specific 2'-O-methylation of substrate RNAs. Lineage: Eukaryota; Viridiplantae; Streptophyta; Magnoliopsida; Poales; Poaceae. The record is from Rfam by way of RNAcentral.
CAAGCCAGAUGAGGUCGAGGUGAGCGUGACCGUUCGCCGUUUGACAGCGACAUUGGGCGGCUCCAGCGAAGCGGUGCAAGAGGAGAUCGAUGGGGUGAUGUGGUUUCGAUCGGCGGC